GAGUGAAGAGGGACAAGCUCAAAUUUUAAAUCUGUCGGGUUCUACCUGACCGAGUUGUAAUUUGAAGAGGCGUUUUCUGUGUUUCUGAUCAGUCCAAGUCCUUUGGGAUAAGGCAUCACGGAGGGUGAGAAUCCCGUUCGGUUGAUCAGAUUCGCUUUACGAUACGCUUUCAAAGAGUCAAGUUGUUUGGGAUUGCAGCUUAAAAUGGGAGGUAAAUUUCUCCUAAGGCUAAAUAACGGCGAGAGACCGAUAGCGAACAAGUACCGUGAGGGAAAGAUGAAAAGAACUUUGAAAAGAGAGUUAAAUAGUACGUGAAAUUGUUGAAAGGGAAACGAUUGAAGCCAGUCGUACCUGCGGGUAAUCAGCCUUUUGGGCAUGAUUCUGUGGAGCGUGAGGAGUUAAACGCCUUCAUGCCUGCAUAUUCGUGUACAUUGGGUGUCCUUGCCUGUGUGGUUAGUUAACAUCAAUUUUGGUUAUCAUAAAAUGGUUGGAGGAAUGUAGCUUCGAUUUCGAUUGAAGUGUUAUAGCCUUCGGCAGAUGUGAUGAUCGGGAUUGAGGAUUGCAACGGAUACCCUUCGGGGCUACCUGUCUGGUCUCUGAUCGUUGCUUUGGUGCCGAAAGCGUGCUUACGGUUACCAAAGUCGAUGGUCAAUAGGUUAGAACGGGUUAAAUUCGUUA
Molecule: ribosomal RNA, 678 nt
Filed under: uncultured Glomeromycotina
Lineage: Eukaryota; Fungi; Glomeromycota
Description: eukaryotic LSU rRNA
Rfam family: Eukaryotic large subunit ribosomal RNA
Source: RNAcentral